GAGCCUGUUGAUGGUGUGUUGCAAGAAUUAGUGAUCCUCCAUAACGAUAUUCCUUCACUAAUACUAGAUGUUUUAAACAUAGCUGAUGCAUCAUCAGCUCAAGUUGAUAAUUCAUCAGAGGAAUCAAAAGAAAGAAAUAUAUUUUGUUAUAUUAUCAAGGAAUGUGAGAAAGUAAGAGAAAAAAUGUAAUGACUACUACAGAUUUAAACUAAUUAUACCAUCCAUUUCUCUCAGUUUAUUUCAGAUAAGUUAUUGAAAGAAAUAUUAGAAAUUGAUACCCUGCAAGAAGUUGGCAUCUAAAAAAAAUAGAGCAUUUUACUCAAAAUUUAUCAAAGUUAAAACAAAGUUAUACUACAAACAAAAAAAAUUCAAUCUCUUUCGUGAGGAAUGUGAGGGUUUUUCAAAGCUUAUCACAGAGUUGAAUCAAGAAUUUGGCGAAAGUACAAACAAUGAGAGAAUUUUAGGAAUAGUUCAAUCGCUCAUUGGUUGCUUCAAUUUGGAUCCUAACAGGGUAUUAGAUAUUUUGUUAGAAAGCUUUGAGAACAAACCAAAUGAUGCGAACUUAUUUAUUCCUCUUAUCAAAUCUUAUAUGAGUGACCCGAAAAUCAUAAGCGAAGUUUUGGGCUCUAAAUAUAGCUUUCUGAGGAGUAGUGAGAAUGGCGCUCCAAAAUCUCUUCAUGUUCUCACAGCUCA
Long non-coding RNA from Harmonia axyridis, 693 nucleotides. RefSeq lists it as uncharacterized. The transcript has 4 exons. NCBI's taxonomy places the organism in Eukaryota, Metazoa, Arthropoda, Insecta, Coleoptera, Coccinellidae. The record is from RefSeq and is a predicted model, not a curated record.